GUGAUCAUCAAAUCUUUGAACGCAAAUUGCACUCUCUUCGGAGAGUAUGCCUGUUUGAGGGUCAGUAUUAAUAAAAAUCGGUGUGUUGCUUCUUUGUGACGCUCCGGAGUUUGGGUCAUCUUAAUAUCCUUUAGGUUUUAAGAGGCUUAAAAUUGACUUUUUUUGCGCAUUUUAGAUGUACAUAAAUUCUUUUUUUUAUUGUUUUUUUUUAUUGCUAAAAAUCUAUUUGGUUGCAAC
Molecule: unclassified non-coding RNA, 237 nt
Filed under: Rhizophagus sp. (in: glomeromycetes)
Lineage: Eukaryota; Fungi; Glomeromycota; Glomeromycetes; Glomerales; Glomeraceae
Description: partial contains 5.8S ribosomal RNA and internal transcribed spacer 2
Rfam family: 5.8S ribosomal RNA (bases 1-64)
Source: RNAcentral